Molecule: ribosomal RNA, 468 nt
Filed under: uncultured bacterium
Lineage: Bacteria
Description: partial 16S ribosomal RNA
Rfam family: Bacterial small subunit ribosomal RNA
Source: RNAcentral
GACGAACGCUGGCGGCGUGCUUAACACAUGCAAGUCGAACGGAAAGGCCCUGCUUUUGUGGGGUGCUCGAGUGGCGAACGGGUGAGUAACACGUGAGUAACCUGCCCUUGACUUUGGGAUAACUUCAGGAAACUGGGGCUAAUACCGGAUAGGAGCUCCUGCUGCAUGGUGGGGGUUGGAACGUUUCGGCGGUUGGGGAUGGACUCGCGGCUUAUCAGCUUGUUGGUGGGGUAGUGGCUUACCCAGGCUUUGACGGGUAGCCGGCCUGAGAGGGUGACCGGCCACAUUGGGACUGAGGUACGGCCCAGACUCCUACGGGAGGCAGCAGUGGGGAAUAUUGCACAAUGGGCGGAAGCCGGAUGCAGCGACGCCGCGUGCGGGAUGACGGCCUUCGGGUUGUAAACCGCUUUCGCCUGUGACGAAGCGUGAGUGACGGUAAUGGGUAAAGAAGCACCGGCUAACUACGUG